RNAcentral lists this ribosomal RNA (407 nucleotides) under uncultured bacterium. Its description in RNAcentral is "partial 16S ribosomal RNA". It matches the Rfam family "Bacterial small subunit ribosomal RNA", at positions 355 to 777 of the family's 1533-position model. The record is from RNAcentral.
UGGGGAAUAUUGGACAAUGGGCGCAAGCCUGAUCCAGCCAUGCCGCGUGAGUGAUGAAGGCCUUAGGGUUGUAAAGCUCUUUCGCCGGUGAAGAUAAUGACGGUAACGGAGAAGAAGCCCCGGCUAACUUCGUGCCAGCAGCCGCGGUAAUACGAAGGGGGGCUAGCGUUGCUCGGAAUCACUGGGCGUAAAGCGCACGUAGGCGGAUCGUUAAAGUCAGGGGUGAAAUCCCUGGAGCUCAACUCCAGACUGCCCUUGAUACUGGCGAUCUCGAGUUCGAGAGAGGUUGGUGGAACUCCGAGUGUAGAGGUGAAAUUCGUAGAUAUUCGGAAGAACACCAGUGGCGAAGGCGGCCAACUGGCUCGAUACUGACGCUGAGGUGCGAAAUGCGUGGGGAGCAAACAGGA